This 253-nucleotide ribosomal RNA is filed under the name uncultured bacterium. Its description in RNAcentral is "partial 16S ribosomal RNA". It matches the Rfam family "Bacterial small subunit ribosomal RNA", at positions 524 to 776 of the family's 1533-position model. The record is from RNAcentral.
UACGUAGGGUGCAAGCGUUAAUCGGAAUUACUGGGCGUAAGGCGUGCGCAGGCGGUUGGGCAAGACAGAUGUGAAAUCCCCGGGCUUAACCUGGGAACUGCAUUUGUGACUGCAUGGCUAGAGUGUGUCAGAGGGGGGUAGAAUUCCACGUGUAGCAGUGAAAUGCGUAGAUAUGUGGAGGAAUACCGAUGGCGAAGGCAGCCCCCUGGGAUAACACUGACGCUCAUGCACGAAAGCGUGGGGAGCAAACAGG